Molecule: ribosomal RNA, 478 nt
Filed under: uncultured bacterium
Lineage: Bacteria
Description: partial 16S ribosomal RNA
Rfam family: Bacterial small subunit ribosomal RNA
Source: RNAcentral
GACGAACGCUGGCGGCGUGCUUAACACAUGCAAGUCGAACGGUAAGGCCCUUCGGGGUACACGAGUGGCGAACGGGUGAGUAACACGUGGGUGAUCUGCCCUGCACUUCGGGAUAAGCCUGGGAAACUGGGUCUAAUACCGGAUAGGACCACUGCCUGCAUGGGUGGUGGUGGAAAGCUUUUGCGGUGUGGGAUGGGCCCGCGGCCUAUCAGCUGGUUGGUGGGGUGAUGGCCUACCAAGGCGACGACGGGUAGCCGGCCAGAGAGGGUGACCGCCCACACUGGGACUGGGAGACGGCCCAGACUCCUACGGGAGGCAGCAGUGGGGAAUAUUGCACAAUGGGCGCAAGCCUGAUGCAGCGACGCCGCGUGAGGGAUGACGGCCUUCGGGUUGUAAACCUCUUUCAGCACCGACGAAGCGCAAGUGACGGUAGGUGCAGAAGAAGGACCGGCCAACUACGUGCCAGCCGCCGCAGUAA